AGCCUGCCAACUAUGGACUGCGACUUCUACAGACUAGUAUCUCUGAGAAUCUUCCACAGAAGCCUGUUGAUCAUUUAUCUGGAGUUGCAGAU
Molecule: long non-coding RNA, 92 nt
Organism: Fukomys damarensis (Damara mole-rat)
Lineage: Eukaryota; Metazoa; Chordata; Mammalia; Rodentia; Bathyergidae
Exons: 2
Source: RefSeq, a predicted model, not a curated record